UACAGAGGGGGCAAGCGUUGUUCGGAAUUACUGGGCGUAAAGGGCGCGUAGGCGGCCUUCUAAGUCGAACGUGAAAUCCCCGGGCUCAACCCGGGAACUGCGUCCGAUACUGGAAGGCUUGAAUCCGGGAGAGGGAUGCGGAAUUCCGGUGUAGCGGUGAAAUGCGUAGAUAUCGGAAGGAACAUCAGUGGCGAAAGCGACUUCCUGGACCAAUACUGACGCUCAUGUGCGAAAGCGUGGGGAGCAAACAGG
Molecule: ribosomal RNA, 252 nt
Filed under: uncultured bacterium
Lineage: Bacteria
Description: partial 16S ribosomal RNA
Rfam family: Bacterial small subunit ribosomal RNA
Source: RNAcentral